RNAcentral lists this ribosomal RNA (253 nucleotides) under uncultured bacterium. Its description in RNAcentral is "partial 16S ribosomal RNA". It matches the Rfam family "Bacterial small subunit ribosomal RNA", at positions 524 to 776 of the family's 1533-position model. The record is from RNAcentral.
UACGUAGGGGGCAAGCGUUGUCCGGAUUUAUUGGGCGUAAAGAGUGCGUAGGCGGUUCCGUAAGUUUGUUGUGAAAUCUCCCGGCUUAACUGGGAGGGUGCGGCGAAGACUGCGGAGCUGGAGUAUGGGAGAGGCAGGCGGAAUUCCUGGUGUAGCGGUGAAAUGCGUAGAUAUCAGGAGGAACACCGGUGGUGUAGACGGCUUGCUGGACCAUGACUGACGCUGAGGCACGAAAGCGUGGGGAGCAAACAGG